This 1477-nucleotide ribosomal RNA is filed under the name uncultured Bacteroidota bacterium. Its description in RNAcentral is "uncultured Bacteroidetes bacterium 16S ribosomal RNA". It matches the Rfam family "Bacterial small subunit ribosomal RNA". Lineage: Bacteria; Pseudomonadati; Bacteroidota. The record is from RNAcentral.
AGAGUUUGAUCCUGGCUCAGGACGAACGCUAGCGGCAGGCCUAAUACAUGCAAGUCGAGGGGCAGCAUGGUCUUCGGACUGAUGGCGACCGGCGCACGGGUGCGUAACACGUAUGCAACUUACCUUUGAGAGGGGAAUAGCCUGUGGGAACGCAGAUUAAUACCCCAUAUAUUUCUGAUACGAAUGUAUCGGGGAUGAAAGCUCAGGCGCUCAAGAUAGGCAUGCGCCCCCAUUAGCUUGUUUGGGAGGUAACAGCUCACCAGGCUACCAUGGUAGCUGGUCUGAAAGGAUGAUCAGCCCCCCGGGCACUGAGACCCGGGCCGACUCCUACGGGGGGGCGCCGUUAGGGAAUUUUGGGCAAGGGGGGCAACCCUGAACCAACCAUGCCCCGUGGAGGAAGAAGGCCCUCUGAGUCGUAAACUGCUUUUCUGAGGGACUAAGGACAUCCUAUACGGAUGUUUGCAGGUACCUUAGGAAUAAGCACCGGCUAACUACGUGCCAGCAGCCGCGGUAACACGUAGGGUGCAAGCGUUGUCCGGAUUUAUUGGGUUUAAAGGGUGCGCAGGCGGCUUAUUUCCCCGUAGUAAAAACGUACGGCUCAACCGUAUAGGAGCUAUUAAAACUGAUAAGCUUGAGUGUGUCAGAGGAGGUUAGAAUGCAUGGUGUAGCGGUGAAAUGCAUAGAUAUCACGCAGAAUACCAAUUGCGAAGGCAGAUCUCUAUGGCACAACUGACGCUGAGGCACGAAAGCGUGGGGAGCGAACAGGAUUAGAUACCCUGGUAGUCCACGCUGUAAACGAUGAUCACUAGAUGUUCGGUUUACGGACUGAGUGUCCCAGCGUAUGCGAUUAGUGAUCCACCUGGGGAGUACGUUCGCAAGAAUGAACUCCAAGGGAUUGACGGGGGCCCGCCCAAGCGGUGGGGCAUGGGGUUUAAUUCGAUGAUACGCGAGGGACCUUUACCUGGGCUAAAAUGCCCUUUAAAGCUGCCGAAAGGGGGUCCCCCCUUCGGGGCCAAAUGCAAAGGGCCUGCAUGGUUGUCGUCAGCUCGUGCCGUGAGGUGUUGGGUUAAGUCCCCGAACGGAGGUAACCCCUAUCGUUAGUUGCCAGCAUUUCGGAUGGGGACCUCUAACGAGACUGCCUCCCCAAGGAGUGAGGAAGGCGGGGGAUGACGUCAAAAUCAUCAUGGCCCUUACGUCCAGGGGCGACACACGUGAUACAAUGGUCGAUACAGCGGUAGCGACCUUGCGAAAGGAAGCCAAUCCCUAAAAGUCGAUCUCAGUUCGGAUUGGAGUCUGCAACUCGACUCCAUGAAGUCGGAAUCGCUAGUAAUCGCGGAUCAGCCAUGUCGCGGUGAAUACGUUCCCGGGCCUUGUACACACCGCCCGUCAAGCCAUGGAAGCCGGGGGCACCUGAAGUCGGUAUAAUCGCCUAGGGUGAAAUUGGUAACUGGGGCUAAGUCGUAACAAGGUUUCCGUA